This 57-nucleotide transfer RNA is filed under the name Bos taurus (domestic cattle). It matches the Rfam family "tRNA", at positions 8 to 63 of the family's 71-position model. Rfam says of the family: Transfer RNA (tRNA) molecules are approximately 80 nucleotides in length. The record is from Rfam by way of RNAcentral. Lineage: Eukaryota; Metazoa; Chordata; Mammalia; Artiodactyla; Bovidae. RNAcentral also lists the same sequence under 1 other name.
UGGCUCAGACAGUAAAGCGUCUGCCUGCAAUGCAGGAGAUCCGGGUUCGAUUCCUGG